GUCAAAGGUGAACAGAAGAGCAAGGUGUGCUGAAGGACUACAUAUGCUUCCAAAGUCACUAAGUACCUGUCCAUAGACAUAGCAUCCAUAUUUUCAGAUUGAACAUGACAUAAGAAGAAUAAAAAUGAGUAUUGGGUCGUAUAUCUGAGAUAUAUACUGUGAGCAAUAACAGAAGACAGAGCCCAAGCAGGAGUGCUCUGAAGUCCCAUAAUCCAGAAGACCAAUGCAAUGAUAAAGCUUCUGGGCCAUACAAAAUCAGGGGAUGGCUGGAUUUGGCACGUGGAUUAUAAUUUGCCACCCCUGAUUGAAAGUAUUGUGAGCAAGUCUCCAUUGACAGAAUGAAAGCAGGAUGAGAUGAAGAUAAGAUGCUUGAUAUCACAGUGUGUAAGGAAAAAUAGGAAUCGACGUACACACUUAGUUUGGAAUUGAACAUUCAGGGGCACCUGGAUGGCUCAGUUGGUUAAGCAUCUGCCUUCAUCUCAGGUCAUGAUCCCA
This is a long non-coding RNA of Lontra canadensis (Northern American river otter), 495 nucleotides long. RefSeq lists it as uncharacterized. The record is from RefSeq and is a predicted model, not a curated record. Lineage: Eukaryota; Metazoa; Chordata; Mammalia; Carnivora; Mustelidae. The transcript is spliced from 3 exons.